ACACUUCAGCAGUGCAUCUACUAAAACUAGAACAUUCUAGAGAAGAUUAGCAUGGCCCCCUGCGCAAGGUUGACAUGCAAACUUGUGAAGCGACCCAUAUUAUU
Molecule: small nuclear RNA, 104 nt
Organism: Tupaia belangeri (northern tree shrew)
Lineage: Eukaryota; Metazoa; Chordata; Mammalia; Scandentia; Tupaiidae
Source: Ensembl